This 422-nucleotide ribosomal RNA is filed under the name uncultured prokaryote. RNAcentral's name for it is "bacterial SSU rRNA". It matches the Rfam family "Bacterial small subunit ribosomal RNA", at positions 355 to 793 of the family's 1533-position model. The record is from RNAcentral.
UGAGGAAUAUUGCGCAAUGGGGGGAACCCUGACGCAGCAACGCCGCGUGGAGGACGAAGGCCCUUGGGUUGUAAACUCCUUUUCCGAGGGAAGAGAAAGGACGGUACCUCGGGAAUAAGUCACGGCUAACUACGUGCCAGCAGCCGCGGUAAUACGGAGGUGGCAAGCGUUAUCCGGAGUUACUGGGCGUAAAGGGCAUGCAGGCGGCCAGUCAAGUCCGAUGUGAAAACUCCCGGCUCUACUGGGAGAGGACGUUGGAAACUGAUUGGCUUGAGGCAAUGAGAGGGGUACAGAAUUCCCGGUGUAGUGGUGGAAUGCGUAGAUAUCGGGAGGAAUACCUGUGGCGAAAGCGGUACCCUGGCAUUGUACUGACGCUCAUGUGCGAAAGCGUGGGGAGCAAACGGGAUUAGAUACCCCCGUAG